AACAGGUUGAUAUUCCUGUACCACCUCUUUAUCGUUUGAGCAAUGGAGGGACGCAGAAGGAUAGAAGAAGCGUGCGAUUGGUUGUGCACGUCCAAGCAGUUAGGCUGAUAAGUAGGCAAAUCCGCUUAUCGUAAAGGCUGAGCUGUGAUGGGGAAGCUCCUUAUGGGGCGAAGUCUUUGAUUCCCCGCUGCCAAGAAAAGCUUCUAGCGAGAUAAAAGGUGCCUGUACCGCAAACCGACACAGGUAGGCGAGGAGAGAAUCCUAAGGUGUGCGAGAGAACUCUGGUUAAGGAACUCGGCAAAAUGACCCCGUAACUUCGGGAGAAGGGGUGCUUUCUUAACGGAAAGCCGCAGUGAAUAGGCCCAAGCGACUGUUUAGCAAAACACAGCUCUCUGCGAAGCCGUAAGGCGAAGUAUAGGGGGUGACACCUGCCCGGUGCUGGAAGGUUAAGGAGAGGGGUUAGCGUAAGCGAAGCUCUGAACUGAAGCCCCAGUAAACGGCGGCCGUAACUAUAACGGUCCUAAGGUAGCGAAAUUCCUUGUCGGGUAAGUUCCGACCCGCACGAAAGGUGUAACGAUUUGGGCACUGUCUCAACCAGAGACUCGGUGAAAUUAUAGUACCUGUGAAGAUGCAGGUUACCCGCGACAGGACGGAAAGACCCCGUGGAGCUUUACUGUAGCCUGAUAUUGAAUUUUGGUACAGUUUGUACAGGAUAGGCGGGAGCCUUUGAAACCGGAGCGCUAGCUUCGGUGGAGGCGCUGGUGGGAUACCGCCCUGACUGUAUUGAAAUUCUAACCUACGGGUCUUAUCGACCCGGGAGACAGUGUCAGGUGGGCAGUUUGACUGGGGCGUCGCCUCCUAAAGUGUAACGGAGGCGCCCAAAGGUUCCCUCAGAAUGGUUGGAAAUCAUUCGUAGAGUGACAAAGGCAUAAGGGAGCUUGACUGCGAGACCUACAAGUCGAGCAGGGCGAAAUCGGGCUUAGUGAUCCGGGGUUCCGCAUGAAGGGCCAUCGCUCAACGGAUAAAAGCUACCCCGGGGAUAACAGGCUUAUCUCCCCCAAGAGUCCACAUCGACGGGGAGGUUUGGCACCUCGAUGUCGGCUCAUCGCAUCCUGGGGCUGUAGUCGGUCCCAAGGGUUGGGCUGUUCGCCCAUUAAAGCGGUACGCGAGCUGGGUUCAGAACGUCGUGAGACAGUUCGGUCCCUAUCCGUCGUGGGCGUAGGAAAUUUGAGAGGAGCUGUCCUUAGUACGAGAGGACCGGGAUGGACGCACCGCUGGUGUACCAGUUGUUCUGCCAAGGGCAUAGCUGGGUAGCUAUGUGCGGAAGGGAUAAGUGCUGAAAGCAUCUAAGCAUGAAGCCCCCCUCAAGAUGAGAUUUCCCAUAGCGUAAGCUAGUAAGAUCCCUGAAAGAUGAUCAGGUUGAUAGGUUCGAGGUGGAAGCAUGGUGACAUGUGGAGCUGACGAAUACUAAUAGAUCGAGGACUUAACCAU
Molecule: ribosomal RNA, 1491 nt
Filed under: Bacillus cereus
Lineage: Bacteria; Bacillati; Bacillota; Bacilli; Caryophanales; Bacillaceae
Description: bacterial LSU rRNA
Rfam family: Bacterial large subunit ribosomal RNA
Source: RNAcentral